UUCCUGAUGUUUAGUCAGAAUCUCCUUUCUUGUAAUUUGCAGCCAUUGGUUUGAGUCCUACACUUCGAAGCAGGAGAAAACCAGCUUGCUCCAUCUUCCACAGCCCUUAAUAGAUUUGAAGACGGCUAUCAUAUCUCCACUCAGUCUUCUCUUCUCCGGGUUAAACAUACCCAACUCCCUCAACC
This is a non-coding RNA of Podarcis lilfordi (Lilford's wall lizard), 185 nucleotides long. Lineage: Eukaryota; Metazoa; Chordata; Lepidosauria; Squamata; Lacertidae. The record is from the annotation of a GenBank genome assembly.